This 253-nucleotide ribosomal RNA is filed under the name uncultured bacterium. Its description in RNAcentral is "partial 16S ribosomal RNA". It matches the Rfam family "Bacterial small subunit ribosomal RNA", at positions 524 to 776 of the family's 1533-position model. The record is from RNAcentral.
UACGUAGGGGGCAAGCGUUGUCCGGAAUUACUGGGCGUAAAGAGCGCGCAGGCGGUCGUUCAAGUCGCGUGUGAAAGCCCCCGGCUCAACUGGGGAGGGUCACGCGAUACUGAUCGACUCGAAGGCAGGAGAGGGUAGUGGAAUUCCCGGUGUAGUGGUGAAAUGCGUAGAUAUCGGGAGGAACACCAGUGGCGAAGGCGACUACCUGGCCUGUUCUUGACGCUGAGGCGCGAAAGCUAGGGGAGCAAACGGG